RNAcentral lists this ribosomal RNA (585 nucleotides) under uncultured bacterium. RNAcentral describes it as "bacterial SSU rRNA". It matches the Rfam family "Bacterial small subunit ribosomal RNA", at positions 338 to 916 of the family's 1533-position model. The record is from RNAcentral.
CCUACGGGAGGCAGCAGUGGGGAAUUUUGGACAAUGGGCGAAAGCCUGAUCCAGCCAUGCCGCGUGCAGGAUGAAGGCCUUCGGGUUGUAAACUGCUUUUGUACGGAACGAAAAGGUCUUUUCUAAUAAAGAAGGCUCAUGACGGUACCGUAAGAAUAAGCACCGGCUAACUACGUGCCAGCAGCCGCGGUAAUACGUAGGGUGCGAGCGUUAAUCGGAAUUACUGGGCGUAAAGCGUGCGCAGGCGGUUAUAUAAGACAGUUGUGAAAUCCCCGGGCUCAACCUGGGAACUGCAUCUGUGACUGUAUAGCUAGAGUACGGUAGAGGGGGAUGGAAUUCCGCGUGUAGCAGUGAAAUGCGUAGAUAUGCGGAGGAACACCGAUGGCGAAGGCAAUCCCCUGGACCUGUACUGACGCUCAUGCACGAAAGCGUGGGGAGCAAACAGGAUUAGAUACCCUGGUAGUCCACGCCCUAAACGAUGUCAACUGGUUGUUGGGUCUUCACUGACUCAGUAACGAAGCUAACGCGUGAAGUUGACCGCCUGGGGAGUACGGCCGCAAGGUUGAAACUCAAAUGAAUUGACGG